CCUACGGGAGGCAGCAGUGGGGGAUAUUGCACAAUGGGGGAAACCCUGAUGCAGCAACGCCGCGUGAGUGAAGAAGUAUUUCGGUAUGUAAAGCUCUAUCAGCAGGGAAGAAGAAAGACGGUACCUGACUAAGAAGCCCCGGUUAACUACGUGCCAGCAGCCGCGGUAAUACGUAGGGGGCAAGCGUUAUCCGGAUGUACUGGGUGUAAAGGGAGCGUAGACGGCUGUGCAAGUCUGAAGUGAAAGCCCGUGGCUCAACCGCGGAAUUGCUGUGGAAACUGUAUAGCUUGAGUACUGAAGAGGAAGGCGGAAUUCAUGGUGUAGCGGUGAAAUGCGUAGAUAUUAGGAGGAACACCGGUGGCGAAGGCGACCGGCUGGACAGAAACUGACGUUGAGGCUCGAAAGCGUGGGGAGCAAACAGGAUUAGAUACCCCAGUAGUC
RNAcentral lists this ribosomal RNA (441 nucleotides) under uncultured bacterium. RNAcentral's name for it is "partial 16S ribosomal RNA". It matches the Rfam family "Bacterial small subunit ribosomal RNA", at positions 338 to 795 of the family's 1533-position model. The record is from RNAcentral.